GAAGUGCGAUAAGCAAUGCGAAUUGCAGAAUUCCGCGAGUCAUCAGAUCUUUGAACGCAAAUGGCGCCGGAGGGAUAUCCUUCUGGCAUGUCUGUUUCAGUGUCUGAGAGGUUUCAUCAACAUCUUAAUGUGAUUGACCGGGGAAGAAGAGACACUCUCUCUUCUUUCUUGGGUCUCUCAUGAAAGAUGCGCGAGUGGAUCUUUCGGUCCAAUGAAGUGGUCACAUCACUCGUAUGUGAUUUCAUUGGGAGCACCGGAUUAUCCGCCAUGCUCGCGGUCUCAACCCCCCCUUUAUGAAGGAGAGUGUGUUUAUGCGCACUCUGCUUCAUAAGAUUUCUCUCUCUACACCCUGCAUCUGAGAUAGGCAAGAUCACCCGCUGAACUUAA
This 387-nucleotide unclassified non-coding RNA is filed under the name uncultured Ophiostomataceae. Its description in RNAcentral is "sequence contains ITS1". The stretch from base 1 to 105 matches the Rfam family "5.8S ribosomal RNA", at positions 50 to 154 of the family's 154-position model. The record is from RNAcentral. Lineage: Eukaryota; Fungi; Ascomycota; Sordariomycetes; Ophiostomatales.